CGAUUGGUUCUAUUUUGUUGGUUUCUAGGACCAUCGUAAUGAUUAAUAGGGACGGUCGGGGGCAUCAGUAUUCAGUUGUCAGAGGUGAAAUUCUUGGAUUUACUGAAGACUAACUACUGCGAAAGCAUUUGUCAAGGACGUUUUCAUUAAUCAAGAACGAAAGUUAGGGGAUUGAAGAUGAUCAGAUACCGUCGUAGUCUUAACCAUAAACUAUGCCGACUAGGGAUCGGGCGGUGCCUUUUAUUGGCCCACUCGGCACCUUACGAGAAAUCAAAGUUUUUGGGUUCUGGGGGGAGUAUGGUCGCAAGGCUGAAACUUAAAGGAAUUGACGGAAGGGCACCACCAGGAGUGGAGCCUGCGGCUUAAUUUGACUCAACACGGGGAAACUCACCAGGUCCAGACACAAUAAGGAUUGACAGAUUGAGAGCUCUUUCUUGAUCUUUUGGAUGGUGGUGCAUGGCCGUUCUUAGUUGGUGGAGUGAUUUGUCUGCUUAAUUGCGAUAACGAACGAGACCUCGGCCCUUAAAUAGCCCGGUCCGCAUUUGCGGGCCGCUGGCUUCUUAAGGGGACUAUCGGCUCAAGCCGAUGGAAGUGCGCGGCAAUAACAGGUCUGUGAUGCCCUUAGAUGUUCUGGGCCGCACGCGCGCUACACUGACAGGGCCAGCGAGUACAUCACCUUAACCGAGAGGUUUGGGUAAUCUUGUUAAACCCUGUCGUGC
Molecule: ribosomal RNA, 719 nt
Filed under: uncultured fungus
Lineage: Eukaryota; Fungi
Description: SSU rRNA
Rfam family: Eukaryotic small subunit ribosomal RNA
Source: RNAcentral